GCGGGGAUGGCCCAGCCCGGUAAGGCGCAGGAUUGCUAAUCCUGUGCUCUUUUGAGCUCGGGGGUUCAAAUCCCCCUCCUCGCG
Molecule: transfer RNA, 84 nt
Filed under: Methanobacteriota archaeon
Lineage: Archaea; Methanobacteriati; Methanobacteriota
Description: Euryarchaeota archaeon (groundwater metagenome) tRNA-Ser
Rfam family: tRNA
About the family: Transfer RNA (tRNA) molecules are approximately 80 nucleotides in length. Their secondary structure includes four short double-helical elements and three loops (D, anti-codon, and T loops).
Source: RNAcentral